This 429-nucleotide ribosomal RNA is filed under the name Chloroflexota bacterium. RNAcentral's name for it is "Chloroflexi bacterium partial 16S ribosomal RNA". It matches the Rfam family "Bacterial small subunit ribosomal RNA", at positions 355 to 776 of the family's 1533-position model. The record is from RNAcentral. Lineage: Bacteria; Bacillati; Chloroflexota.
UGGGGAAUAUUGCACAAUGGGCGCAAGCCUGAUGCAGCCAUGCCGCGUGUGUGAAGAAGGCCUUUGGGUUGUAAAGCACUUUCAGCGGGGAGGAAGGCGUUAAGGUUAAUAACCUUGGCGAUUGACGUUACCCGCAGAAGAAGCACCGGCUAACUCCGUGCCAGCAGCCGCGGUAAUACGGAGGGUGCAAGCGUUAAUCGGAAUUACUGGGCGUAAAGCGCACGCAGGCGGUCUGUCAAGUCGGAUGUGAAAUCCCCGGGCUCAACCUGGGAACUGCAUUCGAAACGGGCAGGCUAGAGUCAUGUAGAGGGGGGUAGAAUUCCAGGUGUAGCGGUGAAAUGCGUAGAGAUCUGGAGGAAUACCGGUGGCGAAGGCGGCCCCCUGGACAAAGACGGACGCUCAGGUGCGAAAGCGUGGGAAGCAAACAGG